RNAcentral lists this ribosomal RNA (496 nucleotides) under uncultured bacterium. RNAcentral describes it as "partial 16S ribosomal RNA". It matches the Rfam family "Bacterial small subunit ribosomal RNA", at positions 29 to 507 of the family's 1533-position model. The record is from RNAcentral.
AUGCACGCUGGCGGCGUGCCUAAUACAUGCAAGUCGAGCGAACAGACGAGGAGCUUGCUCCUCUGACGUUAGCGGCGGACGGGUGAGUAACACGUGGAUAACCUACCUAUAAGACUGGGAUAACUUCGGGAAACCGGAGCUAAUACCGGAUAAUAUAUUGAACCGCAUGGUUCAUUAGUGAAAGACGGUUUUGCUGUCACUUAUAGAUGGAUCCGCGCCGCAUUAGCUAGUUGGUAAGGUAACGGCUUACCAAGGCGACGAUGCGUAGCCGACCUGAGAGGGUGAUCGGCCACACUGGAACUGAGACACGGUCCAGACUCCUACGGGAGGCAGCAGUAGGGAAUCUUCCGCAAUGGGCGAAAGCCUGACGGAGCAACGCCGCGUGAGUGAUGAAGGUCUUCGGAUCGUAAAACUCUGUUAUUAGGGAAGAACAAAUGUGUAAGUAACUAUGCACGUCUUGACGGUACCUAAUCAGAAAGCCACGGCUAACUACGUG